Molecule: ribosomal RNA, 655 nt
Filed under: uncultured crenarchaeote
Lineage: Archaea; Thermoproteati; Thermoproteota
Description: bacterial SSU rRNA
Rfam family: Archaeal small subunit ribosomal RNA
Source: RNAcentral
AGGAUGGGACUGCGUCCGAUCAGGCUGUUGGCGGGGUAAUGGCCCACCAAACCUGUAACCGGUACGGGCCUUGAGAGAGGUGGCCCGGAGAUGGACACUGAGAGAAGGGUCCAGGUCCUACGGGGCGCAGCAGGCGCGAAACCUUCGCAAUGCGCGAAAGCGUGACGAGGUUAAUCCGAGUGACUCCCGCUGAGGGGGUCUUUUGUCAGCUGUAAAUAGGCAGGCGAAUAAGGGGAGGGCAAGCCUGGUGUCAGCCGCCGCGGUAAUACCAGCUCCUCGAGUGGUCGGGGCGAUUAUUGGGCCUAAAGCAUCCGUAGCCGGUUCCGUAGGUCCUCUGUUAAAUCCAACCGCUCAACGGUUGACCUGCAGAGGAUACCGCGGGACUAGGAGGCGGGAGAGGCGGACGGUACUCCGCGUGUAGGGGUAAAAUCCUUUGAUCCGCGGAAGACCACCAGUGGCGAAGGCGGUCCGCCAGAACGCGCUCGACGGUGAGGGAUGAAAGCUGGGGGAGCGAACCGGAUUAGAUACCCGGGUAGUCCCAGCCGUAAACGAUGCUAGCUAGAUGAUUCAUUCGCAAGUCGCGAAUGAAGUGUCGCAGGGAAGCCGUUAAGCUAGCCGCCUGGGGAGUACGGUCGCAAGACUGAAACUUAAAGGA